Molecule: ribosomal RNA, 253 nt
Filed under: uncultured bacterium
Lineage: Bacteria
Description: partial 16S ribosomal RNA
Rfam family: Bacterial small subunit ribosomal RNA
Source: RNAcentral
UACGAAGGGGGCUAGCGUUGUUCGGAAUCACUGGGCGUAAAGCGCACGUAGGCGGAUUGUUAAGUCGGGGGUGAAAUCCUGAGGCUCAACCUCAGAACUGCCUUCGAUACUGGCAAUCUCGAGUCCGGAAGAGGUUGGUGGAACAGCUAGUGUAGAGGUGAAAUUCGUAGAUAUUAGCUAGAACACCAGUGGCGAAGGCGGCCAACUGUCCGGUACUGACGCUGAGGUGCGAAAGCGUGGGGAGCAAACAGGG